This 431-nucleotide ribosomal RNA is filed under the name uncultured bacterium. RNAcentral's name for it is "partial 16S ribosomal RNA". It matches the Rfam family "Bacterial small subunit ribosomal RNA", at positions 29 to 506 of the family's 1533-position model. The record is from RNAcentral.
AACGAACGCUGGCGGCAGGCCUAACACAUGCAAGUCGAGCGAGGACUUCGGUCCUAGCGGCGGACGGGUGAGUAACGCGUGGGAACGUGCCCUUUGCUUCGGAAUAGCCCUGGGAAACUGGGAGUAAUACCGGAUGAGCCCUUUGGGGGAAAGAUUUAUCGGCGAAGGAUCGGCCCGCGUUGGAUUAGGUAGUUGGUGGGUAAUGGCCUACCAAGCCGACGAUCCAUAGCUGGUUUGAGAGGAUGAUCAGCCACACUGGGACUGAGACACGGCCCAGACUCCUACGGGAGGCAGCAGUGGGGAAUCUUAGACAAUGGGGGAAACCCUGAUCUAGCCAUGCCGCGUGAGCGAUGAAGGCCUUAGGGUUGUAAAGCUCUUUCAGCUGGGAAGAUAAUGACGGUACCAGCAGAAGAAGCCCCGGCGAACUCCGU